UUCCUUCUAGUUUAAUCGGUUAAAAUUGUUGGCUGUUAACCAAUCAGAUAUUGGUUCGAAUCCAAUGGGGGACG
RNAcentral lists this transfer RNA (74 nucleotides) under Paramoeba aparasomata. RNAcentral's name for it is "tRNA-Asn". It matches the Rfam family "tRNA". Rfam says of the family: Transfer RNA (tRNA) molecules are approximately 80 nucleotides in length. Their secondary structure includes four short double-helical elements and three loops (D, anti-codon, and T loops). Further hydrogen bonds mediate the characteristic L-shaped molecular structure. tRNAs have two regions of fundamental functional importance: the anti-codon, which is responsible for specific mRNA codon recognition, and the 3' end, to which the tRNAs corresponding amino acid is attached (by aminoacyl-tRNA synthetases). tRNAs cope with the degeneracy of the genetic code in two manners: having more than one tRNA (with a specific anti-codon) for a particular amino acid; and 'wobble' base-pairing, i.e. permitting non-standard base-pairing at the 3rd anti-codon position. Lineage: Eukaryota; Discosea; Flabellinia; Dactylopodida; Paramoebidae. The record is from RNAcentral.